CCUACGGGAGGCAGCAGUGAGGAAUAUUGGUCAAUGGCCGGAAGGCUGAACCAGCCAUGCCGCGUGAAGGUCAGUGCCCUAUGGGCGUUAAACUUCUUUUGUGCGGGAGCAAUAAUGGUCACGUGUGGCCAGACGAGAGUACCGUACGAAUAAGCAUCGGCUAACUCCGUGCCAGCAGCCGCGGUAAUACGGGGGAUGCAAGCGUUAUCCGGAUUUAUUGGGUUUAAAGGGUGCGUAGGCUGUGAGGUAAGUCAGCGGUGAAAUGCCCCCGCUCAACGGGGUGAAGUGCCAUUGAUACUGCCUUGCUGGAAUGCGGAUGCCGUGGGAGGAAUGUGUGGUGUAGCGGUGGAAUGCAUAGAUAUCACACAGAACACCGAUUGCGAAGGCAUCUCACGAAUCCGCGAUUGACGCUGAUGCACGAAAGCGUGGGUAUCAAACAGGAUUAGAUACCCCGGUAGUC
RNAcentral lists this ribosomal RNA (460 nucleotides) under uncultured bacterium. RNAcentral's name for it is "partial 16S ribosomal RNA". It matches the Rfam family "Bacterial small subunit ribosomal RNA", at positions 338 to 795 of the family's 1533-position model. The record is from RNAcentral.